RNAcentral lists this ribosomal RNA (503 nucleotides) under uncultured bacterium. Its description in RNAcentral is "partial 16S ribosomal RNA". It matches the Rfam family "Bacterial small subunit ribosomal RNA", at positions 899 to 1397 of the family's 1533-position model. The record is from RNAcentral.
ACUCAAAUGAAUUGACGGGGGUCCGCACAAGCGGUGGAACAUGUGGUUUAAUUCGACACUACGCGAGGAACCUUACCUGGGCUUGACAUGUAUUCGCUACUGGUAGAAAUAUUGGGUUUUUGUAGAAAUAUGAAACGAAUACACAGGUGCUGCAUGGCUGUCGUCAGCUCGUGUCGUGAGAUGUUGGGUUAAGUCCUUUAACGAGCGCAACCCUUGCCGCUAGUUGCUCGCCGUAAGGCAGCUACUCUAGCGGGACUGCCGAGGAAACUCGGAGGAAGGUGGGGAUGACGUCAAGUCCUCAUGGCCCUUAUGUCCAGGGCUACACACGUGUUACAAUGGCUCGUACAAAGAGUUGCAAAGUCGCGAGGCGAAGCAAAUCUCAUAAAACGAGUCUAAGUUCGGAUUGAAGUCUGCAAUUCGACUUCAUGAAGUUGAAAUCGCUAGUAAUCGCGUAUCAGAACGACGCGGUGAAUACGUUCUCGGACCUUGUACACACCGCCCGU